RNAcentral lists this ribosomal RNA (792 nucleotides) under Triticum aestivum (bread wheat). RNAcentral's name for it is "partial small subunit ribosomal RNA". Lineage: Eukaryota; Viridiplantae; Streptophyta; Magnoliopsida; Poales; Poaceae. The record is from RNAcentral.
AUGGCGUCUCUCCUCUUCCUGCCGCACACGACCCCCACGGCCUCCCCGCGCGCCGCGGCCAGGCCCAGGGCCGGGGCCAUCACCUGCGGCCCGCGCGACAACCGCGGCCCGCUCCAGCGCGGCCGCUCCCUCUCCACCGAGGCCAUCCACGCCGUGCAGUCCCUCAAGCGCCUCACCGCCGCCGACCGCUCCCCGUCGGCCGCCCGCGGCGCGGCCUCCGCGUCCCUCGGCCGCCUCCUCCGGGCCGAUCUCCUCGCCGCCAUGGCCGAGCUCCAGCGCCAGGGCCACUGGUCCCUCGCCCUCGCCGCGCUCCACGUGGCGCGCGCCGAGCCCUGGUACCGGCCCGACCCGGAGCUCUACGCCACGUUCGUCUCCUCCUCGCCGCCCUCCGAGGCCGCCGCCGGCGCCGUGGACGCGCUCGUGGAGGCGUUCCUCGAGGAGAAGGAGGAGGGGCGCGGCGGGCGGCUCUCGGAGUCGGAGGGGCCGUGGGUGGGGGUGGACGUGUACAGGCUCACGAGGCUGGUGCGCGCGCUGGUGGCCAAGGGCAGGGCGCGCGCGGCGUGGCGGGUGUACGAGGCGGCGGUGAGGAGGGGAGGCUGCGACGUGGACGAGUACAUGUACCGGGUGAUGGCGCGGGGGAUGAAGCGGCUGGGGCUCGAGGCCGAGGCGGCGGAGGUGGAGGCCGACUUCGCCGAGUGGGAGGCCAGGGUCUCGCCGCCGGCGAGGCAUCUGCUCGACGAAAUGCGCGCGAGGGAGGAGAGCGACAAGACGACGACGCCGACGACGGCUUAG